UAGAGUUUGAUCCUGGCUCAGGACGAACGCUGGCGGCAGGCUUAACACAUGCAAGUCGCACGAGAACGUUCUGGCUUUGCCAGGACAAGUACAGUGGCGGACGGGUGCGUAUCGCGUAGAUAACCUGCCCUCAGGCGCGGGACAAUCACGGGAAACCGUGGCUAAUACCGCACGUCGUCUGGACCCCGCAUGGGGACCAGAUGAAAGCCUUCGGGCGCCUUUGGAUGGGUCUGCGUUGGAUUAGCUUGUUGGUGAGGUAACGGCUCACCAAGGCAACGAUCCAUAGCCGGUCUGAGAGGACGAUCAGCCACACUGGGACUGAGACACGGCCCAGACUCCUACGGGAGGCAGCAGUGGGGAAUCUUGCACAAUGGGGUCACCCCUGAUGCAGCCAUGCCGCGUGGAGGAAGACACCCCUAUGGGGCGUAAACUCCUUUUCUGAAUGAAGAAACCCCUGUAGCUUCAGGGCGCGACGGUAGUUCAGGAAUAAGCACCGGCUAACUCCGUGCCAGCAGCCGCGGUAAUACGGAGGGUGCAAGCGUUGUCCGGAAUCACUGGGUGUAAAGGGUGUGCAGGCGGGGCAGCAAGUCGGAUGUGAAACCCCAUGGCUUAACCAUGGAGGUGCAUUCGAAACUGUUGCUCUUGAGUCCCGGAGAGGCUGUCGGAAUUCGUGGUGUAGCGGUGAAAUGCGUAGAUAUCACGAGGAACACCAGAGGCGAAAGCGGACAGCUGGACGGGUACUGACGCUCAGCACGAAAGCGUGGGGAGCAAACAGGAUUAGAUACCCUGUAGUCCACGCCGUAAACGAUGAAUGCUCGCCGUUGCCUCGUUAGGGGGCAGUGGCUAAAGCUAACGCGUUAAGCAUUCCACCUGGGGAGUACGAUCGCAAGGUUGAAACUCAAAGGAAUUGACGGGGGCCCGCACAAGCGGUGGAGCAUGUGGCUCAAUUCGAUGCAACGCGAAGAACCUUACCUAGGCUCGAACGCUAAAGGACCGCUCCUGAAAGGGAGCUUCCCCUUUUGGGCCUUUAGCGAGGUACUGCAUGCCAUGCCGUCAGCUCGUGUCGUGAGAUGUUGGUAAGUCCCGCAACGAGCGUAACCCCUGUUGCUAGUUACCAGCGGAUAAUGCCGGGGACUCUAGCGAAACUGCCUGCGCAAGCAGUGAGGAAGGUG
This 1172-nucleotide ribosomal RNA is filed under the name uncultured bacterium. Its description in RNAcentral is "bacterial SSU rRNA". It matches the Rfam family "Bacterial small subunit ribosomal RNA", at positions 1 to 1175 of the family's 1533-position model. The record is from RNAcentral.